Molecule: ribosomal RNA, 867 nt
Filed under: Triticum aestivum (bread wheat)
Lineage: Eukaryota; Viridiplantae; Streptophyta; Magnoliopsida; Poales; Poaceae
Description: partial small subunit ribosomal RNA
Source: RNAcentral
AUGGGGAGGUCCCCGUGCUGCGAGAAGGCGCACACCAACAAGGGCGCCUGGACCAAGGAGGAGGACCAGCGCCUCAUCGCCUACAUCAAGGCCCAUGGCGAGGGCUGCUGGAGGUCCCUCCCCAAAGCCGCAGGGCUGCUGCGGUGCGGGAAGAGCUGCAGGCUGCGGUGGAUCAACUACCUGAGGCCGGACCUCAAACGGGGCAACUUCACCGAGGAGGAGGACGAGCUCAUCAUCAAGCUCCACGAGCUGCUCGGCAACAAGUGGUCGCUCAUCGCCGGGAGGCUGCCGGGGAGGACGGACAACGAGAUCAAGAACUACUGGAACACGCACAUCAAGCGCAAGCUCCUGGCCCGCGGCAUGGACCCGCACACCCACCGCCCGCUUAAUGCCAUCGCGGGGGCCGCCAUGCCGGCGCAGCAGCUCCGGGUCGCGCACCAACACCAGUACGCGGCUGCCACACCCGGUGGCCACCACCUCCAGCCGCAGCAGCAGGAUCCCUUCGCGGCUCUCUCCAGCUCAGCCGAGCCCGCCUGCAGCCACAGCAGCGACGACGAGCCGGCCGGCUCCGCCACGCCGCCGCCACCGUCGCGACGGCACCUCGGCAUCGACCUCAACCUCUCCAUCAGCCUUGCACCCUACCAGCCGGACGACCCAGCGGUGAAACAGGAGGCAGCAACGACGGCGAGCCACAACAAUGCAACAACGUCCACGUCGGCGGCGUGCAUGUGCUUGAACCGCCUCGGGUUCCAGGGCGCCGGCGAGGGAUGCCGCUGCGGCGGCGCUUCCUCCGUGCCCAUGCAGCAGCAGGCCAGCACGCAGCACAUGUUCAGAUUCAUCGCGCCGCUAGAGGGCGGACGCCAAUAG